This 63-nucleotide transfer RNA is filed under the name Pollostacris sp. OR322. RNAcentral describes it as "tRNA-Pro". Lineage: Eukaryota; Metazoa; Arthropoda; Insecta; Orthoptera; Acrididae. The record is from RNAcentral.
CAGGAAUUAGUUUAUUAAAAAUAUUGGUUUUGGGAACCAAUGAUAGAAUUUUUCUAUUCUUGA